GACAAUGAGGUGGAAAAGCGUGGGGUAGCAAAACAGGAUUAGAUACCCCUGGUAGUCCACGCCGUAAACGAUGUAUACUAGUCGUUGGGUCCCUUGAGGACUUAGUGACGCAGCUAACGCAAUAAGUAGACCGCCUGGGGAGUACGGCCGCAAGGUUAAAACUCAAAUGAAUUGACGGGGGCCCGCACAAGCGGUGGAGCAUGUGGUUUAAUUUGAUGCAACGCGAAGAACCUUACCUGGUCUUGACAUAUCUAGAAUCCUGCAGAGAUGCGGGAGUGCCUUCGGGAAUUAGAAUACAGGUGCUGCAUGGCUGUCGUCAGCUCGUGUCGUGAGAUGUUGGGUUAAGUCCCGCAACGAGCGCAACCCUUGUCCUUAGUUACCAGCGGGUUAAGCCGGGAACUCUAAGGAUACUGCCAGUGACAAACUGGAGGAAGGCGGGGACGACGUCAAGUCAUCAUGGCCCUUACGACCAGGGCUACACACGUGCUACAAUGGUAGGUACAGAGGGCAGCUACACAGCGAUGUGAUGCGAAUCUUUCAAAGCCUAUCGUAGUCCAGAUUGGAGUCUGCAACUCGACUCCAUGAAGUAGGAAUCGCUAGUAAUCGCGGAUCAGAAUGCCGCGGUGAAUACGUUCCCGGGCCUUGUACACACCGCCCGUCACACCAUGGGAGUUGAUUGCACCAGAAGUGGUUAGCC
Molecule: ribosomal RNA, 697 nt
Filed under: uncultured bacterium
Lineage: Bacteria
Description: bacterial SSU rRNA
Rfam family: Bacterial small subunit ribosomal RNA
Source: RNAcentral